This is a long non-coding RNA of Cavia porcellus (domestic guinea pig), 1488 nucleotides long. RefSeq lists it as uncharacterized. The transcript has 3 exons. The record is from RefSeq and is a predicted model, not a curated record. Lineage: Eukaryota; Metazoa; Chordata; Mammalia; Rodentia; Caviidae.
AGAGGGGACACAACCUGAGCUAGCCUGGCUACAUUGGUCAGAUCAGCACAUAUACUUCCCAGAAGCCCCUGGAGGGGAUUCCCACUCUUUGGGGUUGGGACCUGGCUCUCGGGCAGCCCUCCCAGAGCUCCAGCGCAGCAGGGGGGGGGCGUGGGGGGCGGUUUGCCCGCCCACUCGCGGGGGUGGGCGGAGGACCGCGAGAGGUGCAGCGCCAGGGGGCGCUCCCGGCCAGCCCGCGCGCUGCAGCCUCCAGGCCCCGGCUCUUUGUCCCGCGCUGCCUCUUCCAACCGAGGACCUUAAUGCCGCGAUCGCCUUUCCGCGGCUGCCUGUCUGCGCGCGCUCUCUCGCGCGCAGGGCCGAUUUUUUGAGACAGGAUCUCACUCUACUCACCAUGUAGCCUGGCUCUGAAUUUGCAAUGAUCUUCCUGCCUCAGCCUCCCAAGUGCAGGGAUGGGAUUACAGGUGUGUGCCACAAGGCCUGGAAUUUUUCUUGCAUCCUUUAUGGAAGUGGAAUGAGAACAGCCCUCUCCCUGGAGUUCAUUACCUUUCUCCAAAUCACCCUGCCAAGCCAUUCUGCAGAAAUGACUUAUCGAUUGGAGAACAAUUACCCGAGUCCCUGGUGCAUCCUGACAGGCUAAUCCUGCCCACGCCGCCAGACAGCUGCCUGCCCGCCACCCUUCCCUGAAGCCCGGAGUGGGGUCUGCCCUUCCAGGCUUGGGAGCCCACCGGCUGCCCCAGCAGGUCCCAGGUCAGGACCCGCAGGCACAUGAUCACUGUCCUCCACUGGCAUUCACACAACACCCCCGCUGGCUCUGGGGUGCUAAAGCACCCAUAGCCACCAGACACACCCUCAAGGCACCCACUGCAGGCUCAACUGAAGGUGGAGAACUUUCUGGGCCUGUCCUUCUCCCAGUUCUCUGUCUUUUACCAUUUUCUUCUUUUGAGAAAGGGUCUCACUAUGUAGUUUAGACUGGCCUUGAAUCUACUAUGUAGCCCAGGCUGGCCUUGAAUUCAUAGUAAUCCUCCUGCCUCAGCCUCCAGAGCCCUGGGAUUACAGGCCUGUGCUCUUUUCUAUCCUGCUCUUUAUUACUUUCAAGCCCUUACUAUCCUGCAAUCACCAGCUGCAGGGACAGACCCUCUCCAUCACACCCGAGGGUUCAGUGCCAGCGCCCCGCCUCCACCCCAGGGGUACAUCGCACUGUCUAGCCAAGCUCUGCCCAGGAGCGUGGUUCUGCCUGGUGGGGAGGUGGAUGCCUGUAACCCCUCCUCGCUGGGAGGCUGAGGAAAGUUCAAGCCCAGACUGGGCCACCGAGCAAGAGUGGGUCUCAAAGUAAAAACCUUUUACAAAGGGCUGGGGAUGUAAAAUAUGUGGAAUUCUGUGGCAUGCUGGGCACAUCUAGCUCCAGGAGAGGAACAUGCAUUCUGUCCCCCCCCGGCUCCCAGGCCAGUAGGUUGUGUUUCCUAGCCCCGGCCCACCUCUGGGCUUCUC